RNAcentral lists this ribosomal RNA (293 nucleotides) under uncultured Mesorhizobium sp. RNAcentral's name for it is "partial 16S ribosomal RNA". It matches the Rfam family "Bacterial small subunit ribosomal RNA", at positions 1089 to 1382 of the family's 1533-position model. Lineage: Bacteria; Pseudomonadati; Pseudomonadota; Alphaproteobacteria; Hyphomicrobiales; Phyllobacteriaceae. The record is from RNAcentral.
GCAACGAGCGCAACCCUCGCCCUUAGUUGCCAUCAUUCAGUUGGGCACUCUAAGGGGACGUGCCGGUGAUAAGCCGAGAGGAAGGUGGGGAUGACGUCAAGUCCUCAUGGCCCUUACGGGCUGGGCUACACACGUGCUACAAUGGUGGUGACAGUGGGCAGCGAGACCGCGAGGUCGAGCUAAUCUCCAAAAGCCAUCUCAGUUCGGAUUGCACUCUGCAACUCGAGUGCAUGAAGUUGGAAUCGCUAGUAAUCGCGGAUCAGCAUGCCGCGGUGAAUACGUUCCCGGGCCUU